AGCUAAAGGGUGCAGAAGUGAGAAUUGAGAUUACAAUUUGGGUAAACACAAAAAUUAAAAUUGAGAUUAGAUUACAAUAACAUAAGCUAUUUGAGGUUGGUUGGUGUUGGCUGGCCCUACGCACUCCAAUUAUACCAUUCUCCAACGCGGUGAGAAAUAUCUGCUGGCCCCACCCUAAUGAUAAUGAUCCUACGGCGGGGAUUCACCCCUCUCUUUUUAAACCAAAAUCUACGGUCAGGAUUCACUCCCACUAACAACCCUCCGUACUCCUCCAACACGUACCCUCGACAAAUCAUCUCCGCCCAUUUCUCUACUGACACGUAUGUACAUAGUUCAUUUGAUUACACAAUAUCAGUGUGAGCGAACUACCUGAUUUCCCCUCCUUUUUAUUUCCAUUUUUUUAAAAUUUUGUUUGCGUCCUGAAAGAUCUCGAUCCAUUGUGUGUUUCCUCCGCAAUAAAAACAAACCGCGAGUGGGAGAUUUUGAUUUAACUGAUUAGAUCAUUUCCAUCCCAACCUCACUGCUCAUCGAUCGGUCGGAUUGGAUCGAUCUUCUUUUUCUCUUGUUUUGUUCUUCUUCUUCUUCUUCUUCUUCUUCUUUUUUUUUUUUUUUCUAUUUUGUUUGUUUUGAUUCAUCUGUUCAUAUCGAUUUCCCGUUUUAUAUUCUUGUUUUUGAAGAAUGGUUGCGACGGUCGCCGUCGUCGCCGACUCGCGGCACUGUUUGAUUUGUCUUCAGAAGCUUUUGAUUACGUGUUGUCGGCACUGUUACCGACGUCCUGCAUGGAGGAGAGAGAAUCGAGUUUUUUCUUUUUCCUUUUUUUUUUUGGUUUAUUUAAUUGCUUAUUUAUUUCGUACUGAACCUAAAAACCCUAAUUAAUUUCCGGUAUCUUCAGAAAAUGUCUGUGCCUUCAUGAAAUAUUAUGUUGAUGAUUUGAAUUUUGAGCGGCUUUAUGUUGUUUCAUACUCUGGAUCUGGCUCUUAUCGUCUUCUUCAUCAUUAUCGGAUGAUUCCGAUCUCUCUCUCUCUCUCUCUCGUCUCGCUCUGCGGAUUUCUAUGUGUAUACGCGGUUUUUUUUUUUUUUUUUUGUCUCCGUUAUACAUGUGAAAGAUUCUUUGCUGAAAAUAUUUGUUUAUCGUUCUUGAAUUUGUUUAGUCCUUCACCGUCCCUUGGAUAAUUUGACAGAAGAGAGUGAGCACCCAGAGGCAGUUGCUAUAAAGUGUAUACCAAUACUUUUGCGUGCUCACUUCUCUCUCUGUCAGAUUCGUUAAACGGAUCGAGUUUCACAAUUAUUCUCCAUCGAUUUUUUCUGUUUUAGAUUUUAUAUUCUUUUAUGGAUUAGUGAAAUGGUUAUUGGACUCAGAAUUGUAUGAAUCGUAUUUCUGCAGUGUUGUUUCUUUAGAAGCGUUGCUUUUCAUGUUGCUCACUGGCCGGUAUUAUGGCCACGAUCGUGAGAGAAUACUGUAUAACGGGACCUCUCUCAAGCCUACACAGUAUAGGCUGGUCCUCUCCUAAUCGGUAUCUCUCUUUCUUUCUCUCUCUCGCGCUACACUUUUUUUGUUUCUCAUGUUAAACUCUUUGUCAUUUGAUGUACUAAUUUAUUAUUAUUACGCGCAUGCUUUUGAUUUAAAUUCAUAACAUCGGUGUCUGUUUUCUCCUAGAGUAUGGCUGAUGGGAGCUUCUCUCGUUAAAUUUAAUACUCCCUAUGUUACCUAGAAAAUGAAUGCCAUUGUUAUUACUGUAUUAAUAAUGGAGAAUUUUCUAAUCUAAUUUCCGGUCAUGUUUUUAUGAUUACUAUGACUUACAAUGCAUUAGUUAAUUGAAGAAACCUAUCUAUAAUUACGUAAUUUGUAAAAUAGCAAGGCCUAUUAGCCUUUUUCUUUCUUCUUCUUUUUGUAUUUGUAGGAAAUCGCUAUUCGUUGAAUCUUAAGACCUUUGCACGCCACACUAUUUUAAAUUGGCUGAAUGAAUUUCCCCAUCACAAUAGUUUUAGAUCCUAAAAUUUCUGAUUUCACUGUGUAAAGUAACCUUUUUCCCCUUCUCGUGGCUUAGUGAUGGUGAUAUUUUACUUUUUGGGUUGAAUCUUUAAAAUUUUGAUAGCAAAAUGUCAGGUUUAUUGUGCGCGUUUUAAUUGAGUAGCUGUUCAAUGCUCGAGAAUUUCCUUGUUUUUCGAAGUUUAAUGUGCAUAUGUUGAGGUGACGUUUUUGCGCAAUUAUGUCAAUUUUCCUCAUUAGAGUAAUAAUUGUUCGUAGGACGACGUUGGACAAAAUACUACAUUAGGGAACAAUAAUUUUUCAUACCCAUCAAGGGAAUUUGAUGUGUAGUUACUCAGCUUAGGCGUCACAUUACUCUUCAAUUUUUUUAAAUUUGCUUCAUAUGUAACUGCCACUUCUACUGAUAAAGAAUAUUUUGUAUUAAAUGCAAACUUUUAAAGGCUAUAGGAUUGUUGUAGAUACAAGUUUUUGAAUAAAGCUAACUAGUAAAUGCCCUUUUUAUGAUAAUUUAAAUGCUAUUAUAUGCUCUAUUUAAAUAUUUUCUAUCUAGAUCUUCUAUGUUCAUAUAUUUAAUAAUUUGAUGGAAUCUUAGAUAAUUAAAUCAAGUUUCUCUGUGACUAAAAUUUAGUUCAUCCAUCAAAGAAAUAUCACUUCUUUAGUGUGCGAUAAGAAAAUGAAUAGAGGUGAAAUACUGAAUUUUAACUUCCAAACAUCACGAUAUAGAAUGCAGGUAGCUAGUGAACAAUUGCUAGCUGGAUAAAAAAAUUGUGUUGUUUUUUGCUUUAUUUAUUCUUAUUAUAUUGGCCGGUUGUUUCUUCAUGUUGAGGUGAUGGAUUCCUCUUAUGUUCCUUGUAAUCUAUUGGUGACAUGUGAAUCAUUUUUCUUCUAUAGGUUAUCAUUCCAUGUGUGUCUAAAUUUUACAUUUUAGAAAUUGUUUUGCAUUUUUUUCCAUCAUAUAUGAGAGACAUGGUAAGAGAGUUAUAUAUAGGCAGAUCAAGUUCAAAGCAGUAGAGGAAGAAAUUGGCAAAGUAUGUAGUUCUGGUAGGAUCAAUAUGCAACCUUGAGAUGGCAUUGUCCGAAAUUUGGAUUCAACCUUGGGAGAUGGUUCUGUCCAACCGGAACCUGCCGUUGACGUGAAAAUCCUAAUCCAGUUUGUAGGGUUGUUUAUUCAAAAGCUGGCCUUUGUGCGCAUACAGUGGACUGUGAAUGGAAAUCUUUUGCCUUCACCUUGGUGUUGCUUCCGUACAGAAUUGACCGAUUAAAAAAAUGAUGGAAUGAGAAAACCUUGAGACAAGUGGAACUACUUAAUUGUCUACAAGGCUCGACACCGUUGAUCUCCGUAGGUUGGAUUACCAAUAUCUCAGUGGGACGACUCAACCGGAGGGUUGUACAAUAGCCAAGAAAACACAGGAAGGUCUAUUUAUUGAUUAUCGUUUAUAAACAUCUUUUUGAUUCCUUAAACAAUCAUGUAGGUCUUCCUCACUUUCAAUCGGACUUUUGGAUGGGGAAGCAGCAAAUAUAAUAGAGGUUAGAUUACCAAUUUCUCAGUGUUGCAACUGUCGAAUGUAUCAGGAAAAUGGCUGGUGAUUUUACUUUGGGAAUAGCUUCGUUACACUUUUUAUGAGAAAUCUGAAAUAAUUGUUUUUAAUUA
Cucumis melo (muskmelon) is the source of this 3641-nucleotide long non-coding RNA. RefSeq lists it as uncharacterized. The record is from RefSeq and is a predicted model, not a curated record. The transcript has 2 exons. Lineage: Eukaryota; Viridiplantae; Streptophyta; Magnoliopsida; Cucurbitales; Cucurbitaceae.